This 1451-nucleotide ribosomal RNA is filed under the name uncultured organism. Its description in RNAcentral is "SSU rRNA". It matches the Rfam family "Bacterial small subunit ribosomal RNA". The record is from RNAcentral.
GAUGAACGCUUUCUACAGGCUUAACACAUGCAAGUCGAGGGGCAGCAUUUCAGUUUGCUUGCAAACUGGAGAUGGCGACCGGCGCACGGGUGAGUAACACGUAUCCAACCUGCCGAUAACUCGGGGAUAGCCUUUCGAAAGAAAGAUUAAUACCCGAUGGUAUAAUCAGACCGCAUGGUCUUGUUAUUAAAGAAUUUCGGUUAUCGAUGGGGAUGCGUUCCAUUAGGCAGUUGGUGAGGUAACGGCUCACCAAGCCUUCGAUGGAUAGGGGUUCUGAGAGGAAGGUCCCCCACAUUGGAACUGAGACACGGUCCAAACUCCUACGGGAGGCAGCAGUGAGGAAUAUUGGUCAAUGGGCGCAGGCCUGAACCAGCCAAGUAGCGUGAAGGAUGACUGCCCUAUGGGUUGUAAACUUCUUUUAUAUGGGAAUAAAGUUUUCCACGUGUGGAAUUUUGUAUGUACCAUAUGAAUAAGGAUCGGCUAACUCCGUGCCAGCAGCCGCGGUAAUACGGAGGAUCCGAGCGUUAUCCGGAUUUAUUGGGUUUAAAGGGAGCGUAGGUGGACAGUUAAGUCAGUUGUGAAAGUUUGCGGCUCAACCGUAAAAUUGCAGUUGAUACUGGCUGUCUUGAGUACAGUAGAGGUGGGCGGAAUUCGUGGUGUAGCGGUGAAAUGCUUAGAUACCACGAAGAACUCCGAUUGCGAAGGCAGCUCACUGGACUGCAACUGACACUGAUGCUCGAAAGUGUGGGUAUCAAACAGGAUUAGAUACCCUGGUAGUCCACACAGUAAACGAUGAAUACUCGCUGUUUGCGAUAUACAGUAAGCGGCCAAGCGAAAGCAUUAAGUAUUCCACCUGGAGAGUACGCCGGCAACGGUGAAACUCAAAGGAAUUGACGGGGGCCCGCACAAGCGGAGGAACAUGUGGUUUAAUUCGAUGAUACGCGAGGAACCUUACCCGGGCUUAAAUUGCAUUUGAAUAUAUUGGAAACAGUAUAGCCGUAAGGCAAAUGUGAAGGUGCUGCAUGGUUGUCGUCAGCUCGUGCCGUGAGGUGUCGGCUUAAGUGCCAUAACGAGCGCAACCCUUAUCUUUAGUUACUAACAGGUCAUGCUGAGGACUCUAGAGAGACUGCCGUCGUAAGAUGUGAGGAAGGUGGGGAUGACGUCAAAUCAGCACGGCCCUUACGUCCGGGGCUACACACGUGUUACAAUGGGGGGUACAGAAGGCAGCUACCUGGUGACAGGAUGCUAAUCCCAAAAGCCUCUCUCAGUUCGGAUCGAAGUCUGCAACCCGACUUCGUGAAGCUGGAUUCGCUAGUAAUCGCGCAUCAGCCAUGGCGCGGUGAAUACGUUCCCGGGCCUUGUACACACCGCCCGUCAAGCCAUGAAAGCCGGGGGUACCUGAAGUACGUAACCGCAAGGAGCGUCCUAGGGUAAAACUGGUAAUUGGGGCU